RNAcentral lists this ribosomal RNA (481 nucleotides) under uncultured bacterium. RNAcentral describes it as "partial 16S ribosomal RNA". It matches the Rfam family "Bacterial small subunit ribosomal RNA", at positions 30 to 506 of the family's 1533-position model. The record is from RNAcentral.
AUUGAACGCUGGCGGCAUGCCUUACACAUGCAAGUCGAACGGUAACGGGCCUUCGGGUGCCGACGAGUGGCGAACGGGUGAGUAAUACAUCGGAACGUGCCCGAUCGUGGGGGAUAACGAGGCGAAAGCUUUGCUAAUACCGCAUACGAUCUACGGAUGAAAGCAGGGGACCGCAAGGCCUUGCGCGGACGGAGCGGCCGAUGGCAGAUUAGGUAGUUGGUGGGAUAAAAGCUUACCAAGCCGACGAUCUGUAGCUGGUCUGAGAGGAUGAUCAGCCACACUGGGACUGAGACACGGCCCAGGCUCCUACGGGAGGCAGCAGUGGGGAAUUUUGGACAAUGGGCGCAAGCCUGAUCCAGCCAUGCCGCGUGCAGGAUGAAGGCCUUCGGGUUGUAAACUGCUUUUGUACGGAACGAAAAGCCUUCUUUUAAUACAGGAGGGUCAUGACGGUACCGUAAGAAUAAGCACCGGCGAACUACGU